GAUCCGCCCCGACGUCGUCCGCUUCGCCCACGCAAAUCUGUCCAAGAACAGCCGCCAGCCCUACGCCGUCUCCAAGCGCGCCGGCCACCAGACCUCUGCCGAGUCCUGGGGAACCGGCCGCGCCGUCUCCCGUAUCCCCCGUGUACCUGGCGGCGGCACUCACCGCGCCGGCCAGGGUGCCUUCGGCAACAUGUGUCGUGGUGGUCGUAUGUUCGCCCCCACCAAGACCUGGCGCCGCUGGCACCGCCGCGUCAACAUCAACAUGCGCCGCUACGCCGUCGCCUCUGCCAUCGCCGCCUCCGCUGUCCCGUCCCUCGUCCUCGCCCGCGGCCACCGGAUCGAAUCAGUCCCCGAGAUCCCCCUCGUGGUCUCCGACUCCGCCGAGGGCGUGGAGAAGACCGCCUCCGCCAUCAAGAUCCUCAAGCAGAUCGGCGCCCUCCCCGACGCCGAGAAGGCCAAGGACACCCAGGGAAUCCGCCCCGGCAAGGGUAAGAUGCGAAACCGCCGCUACAUCUCGCGCAAGGGUCCCCUGAUCGUGUACGGCACCGAAGGUUCCAAGAUCGUCAAAGCAUUCCGUAACAUACCCGGCGUCGAUGUGGCCAAUGUCGAGCGUCUCAACCUUCUGAAGCUAGCCCCAGGAGGCCACAUCGGCAGGUUCAUCAUCUGGACCAAGUCAGC
This 678-nucleotide long non-coding RNA is filed under the name Musa acuminata (dwarf banana). RNAcentral describes it as "long non-coding RNA (MACU_LNC002102)". The record is from RNAcentral. Lineage: Eukaryota; Viridiplantae; Streptophyta; Magnoliopsida; Zingiberales; Musaceae.